Molecule: ribosomal RNA, 464 nt
Filed under: uncultured bacterium
Lineage: Bacteria
Description: bacterial SSU rRNA
Rfam family: Bacterial small subunit ribosomal RNA
Source: RNAcentral
CACCAGACUCCUACGGGAGGCAGCAGUGAGGAAUAUUGGUCAAUGGGCGCGAGCCUGAACCAGCCAAGUCGCGUGAGGGAUGACGGCCCUACGGGUUGUAAACCUCUUUUGUCGGGGAGCAAAAGCCGGACGUGUCCGUCUGUGAGAGUACCCGAAGAAAAAGCAUCGGCUAACUCCGUGCCAGCAGCCGCGGUAAUACGGAGGAUGCGAGCGUUAUCCGGAUUUAUUGGGUUUAAAGGGUGCGCAGGCGGAGGUGCAAGUCAGUGGUCAAAUUGCGGGGCUCAACCCCGUACUGCCGUUGAAACUGCAUCCCUUGAGUGCGCGAGAAGUAUGCGGAAUGCGUGGUGUAGCGGUGAAAUGCAUAGAUAUCACGCAGAACUCCGAUUGCGAAGGCAGCAUACCGGCGCGCAACUGACGCUCAUGCACGAAAGCGUGGGUAUCGAACAGGAUUAGAUACCCUCGUA